GAUGUAGGAUAAAAGAUGCUCUAGUCUGUGGGUACAGCAAUAAGACAUUAGAAACAGUUUUAAUACUCAGUACUCUGUCCAUUAAACAAACUGUGUUUGAUCCUCUCCUGGAGUCUAUGUCCUAUUAAGCCAAUGGUUCCUUGUCCUUUUAAUAGUGUCAGUUAUUGGUUCUUUCUCAUAGACAAGACCUCAAAGUUUUGAGACUUAAGUUGUGACUUAAAUCCCGUCAGAAAGUAGUUGGUUACUCUCAUAACGUUUGCCACUCUUGUGCAAGUGGGCAUCAUCCUGUAAGGCCAGUCAUUGUUGAAGCUUGCAGGUUUCAUAGCUGGGUGAGAGUGAGGCUUGCUUUUCUCCUUUAGCGGUGUGCACAGAACCUUCCAACACUGUGAACACUGGCCAGCAAUGAUGGAAAGCUUACGGGCGAACACCAGCUUGAUGUUCCCAUGAUCUGUGAUCCAGCUGUGUGCUCUCUUAGCAAUAGGCUUCAGCAUCAAGUUCUCAAGACUUGGAGGACCCCAUUGACUAACAGCUCAAAAAAUGCUAACCCUUUCUUGGUACCAGGAUUAUUUGUUACAAUGGGGUAUCUAGUUGGGAUAUUGUUCCCACAUUGUAAAGUACUCAUCAUACCUCUUUAUAUGUGUGUAUCUAUUUUAGGAAGCUUCUACAGCAGUGGGUUGCCAAAUGAUUAAAAAAAAAAAAAAAAAA
This 705-nucleotide long non-coding RNA is filed under the name Rattus norvegicus (Norway rat). Its description in RNAcentral is "long non-coding RNA NONRATT013459". Lineage: Eukaryota; Metazoa; Chordata; Mammalia; Rodentia; Muridae. The record is from RNAcentral.